This 1147-nucleotide long non-coding RNA is filed under the name Elaeis guineensis (African oil palm). RNAcentral describes it as "long non-coding RNA (EGUI_LNC073205)". Lineage: Eukaryota; Viridiplantae; Streptophyta; Magnoliopsida; Arecales; Arecaceae. The record is from RNAcentral.
AUUAUUACAUAGUAUUAAAUCAGAAAUUAAAAUAUAUAAAUAUAGCAUGAACUACAUGUUGAUCAUAUCAACAUGUUUCUAUACUACAUCUAAUGUAUGUAUUAAACAAUAGAUCAGAUCUAUUACCUUGCAAGUUAGACGUUCUAAUCUUGUUGAUCUGGGCUUGAGGAUGAUUUUACAAGCCGCACAUGCAUCUGACCUCUAGGAGUCAUCCACACGAGCUCACGAAUCUCGAUCAGAAGUCCGGCUUCAGAAAAUCAGCACAGUAUGCUAGUACUGCGCUGAUCCUUCUUUGAUGGUUGAUCAAGUGUCUCCUUCUUCUUGAUUUGGACUCUUCCAAAGAUGAAAAGUAGAAGGAGGAGUUUCAGAUCUGAGACACUCUCAGGAAACUCAAGAUGGAGGGAGGAAAGAUAUGAAAACAAAAACCCUAGAAGAAGACCCUCUUCUUCUUCACGUUUUUUUCUCUAGACACCCAAACUUGCAUCUUUUAUAUCUCCACGACCCAAAGGUAUUUCUUUCUAAUUUUUGGAUGGCACAAAGUCUCUCAAAUCUCUGACUUCUCCUAAAAUUUUAUGAAAAAACUCGUCUUAUAUAGAGAGAUAUGAUAGAGUCCUUGUCUAGGUCAAACACCUAGUCAAGGCUUAUCCAAACAUGGCAAGUUAAGGGACGCCCAACUCUUGAGCACCUCCUUCAUAUUUUCAUUCAUAGAUUAUCAGAAAAGGGUACACAAUAUAUACCCUAAAAGCCAUGAAAAUUUCAAAAAAAAUUUGGAUAAAUUCGGUGCAAAAUUGAAAGAGUUUUGGAUUUCUAAAUCUCUAUCUCAUAGAAUUCGAAAUCCAAACUUAUUCCUUUUAGAUUUGAUCCAAACCACCUUCCAUGUAAGAAAGAAGAGAGAAGACCUUUUGUGAACGUGGGAGAGAUCUGGGAGAGGGCUUUUGUUGCACAAAAUAAGUGGAGAUUGGCAUUGAAUAAGAGAGAGGGCGUGGAGAAGGAUUAUGUGGCGCAAGGUGGAAUCCUAGUCUUACUAGGAUUCUGUCUUAUGACUUGUUUUAAUUUGGUUUUUCAAACCAAAUCAAAUCAAAAUUAGAUCAACCCAAUUAAAAUAGGUCUUAACCCAAUUAAAAACCUAAUUUAAUCAGAUUAAAUU